GCACUGGUGGUUCAGUGGUAGAAUUCUUACCUUCCACGUGGGAAAGCCAGGUUUGAAUCCCAGCCAGUGCA
Molecule: transfer RNA, 71 nt
Organism: Loxodonta africana (African savanna elephant)
Lineage: Eukaryota; Metazoa; Chordata; Mammalia; Proboscidea; Elephantidae
Rfam family: tRNA
About the family: Transfer RNA (tRNA) molecules are approximately 80 nucleotides in length.
Source: Rfam